Molecule: non-coding RNA, 316 nt
Organism: Phascolarctos cinereus (koala)
Lineage: Eukaryota; Metazoa; Chordata; Mammalia; Diprotodontia; Phascolarctidae
Source: RefSeq, a predicted model, not a curated record
UGCUGACUUCCAGAAUUUACUGGAAGAGGAAAAGACUCAGGCUACACCCAUUCCUGGAAUGUUGUCUCUCAUCUUGGCUUCUUGGAAUCCCCAGUUCCCUUCAAGAUUCAUCUGGAGUGCCACCUCCUUGAAGAGAAUGACUUUGGAAUGGAAGGUAUGCAUGGGAAGCUGGCCCCAUCAUGUUUGAAAUUCUAGAGACUACCAGAAUGGACCUCAUCUGAUUGAAGAUGUUCAUUCUCUCUCAUGGUUUGAGCUGAGAUCUUAAUUCAAUCUCAACUGAAGAAGUGGUUCAUUUUUGUAUAUUUCUUGGCACAUU